Long non-coding RNA from Nematostella vectensis (starlet sea anemone), 1707 nucleotides. RefSeq lists it as uncharacterized. The transcript has 3 exons. The record is from RefSeq and is a predicted model, not a curated record. NCBI's taxonomy places the organism in Eukaryota, Metazoa, Cnidaria, Anthozoa, Actiniaria, Edwardsiidae.
UGGCGGCUCGACCCAAAUAAGACCUAAAGUGCUUGGCUGGAAACUUUCAGUAACAACCGAGGGGAAAGAGGAGGACGCCUUCGUAGAUGGAGUCUUAAAAUGUUCGACCGCCUCUCUGAAACUGUAUUUCGGAAACAGGAGGCUUCUGUGGCAAACAAGGACUGCCAUAAGAUCGUAGACCUGUGGUCGGUGAUCGAGCGUUCGAUAAAAAGAACACACGACGGUAUUCGUUCGAAUCCCUCAAUGGCAUCGCCCUAUCAUCGCUGCUUUAGCAGAGAAAUCCCGAGAGAAGUUCUAAGUCAUAAAAACAAGCAUAAUUGAACGACCAAACUGGGGGAUUGGGAGCAAUUCAAGCACCGCAAAUGAGGAAGCAUAUAGCGCGGACAUGACUGUAAUCAUGAACUAAACAGGCCAGGUGAGUUACUUGAAAUUAUGUCAUGACCGGGCUAUUAUUUGCUUUAGAGCCUUGGUUUAUUAUCUUCAUUAAGUCAGUUGUUUCAGUUAUUGCUAGUCAUAUAAGUAACUUUAGCAAUGAUGACGUUAGGAGGACAACUAGGAAGACAAGAGCUCAAAAACCAGCCAACCUAUACUACUCACCAGCGUAUGGUAUCAUAUUCUGGUAUCAUAUUCUAGACUAUAUGAUAAAGGAUUCUGGUAUGACUAUAUGACUGAUUUUUUAACAAAAGGGGCUUUAGCAAAAUACUCACCAUCAACUUUUCGGUUAAGCUAAACCGGUCUGCAAUGAGCACUGUAAUGGCUUUUUUGGAAUAAACUUGAAAAUCGAUUAUUGUACAAGAUAAUACAAUAGUUUAGCAGUUUUGAUGACGCUGUUUAUAUUUUUGUCUUGCAUUCUUUUGUAGGACUGGGGUUGUUUGUGACUGAGUCGAGCUCUUGGAGCGUUUUUUUAAUUUUGUUUAGAAGCCAAGCCAGAAUCUCGUGUACUCUUGGAAGUAGGGUGAGCCCCUAUUGGGAAGAUAGUAAGUGUGCAAUGAGUAUAGGGGCUCAUUUUUAUCACGAGAAAGGAAACUGGGAUUGAUUUGUGUUGCAUCAGUUACGAAGGGUGACAACAGUUGUUGUAAGCCUUACUAACAGAAGGGGGGAUGUCCUGGACAUCGCCUAAGAAGUCAGCUGCUGAACGUAUUGUGGAAUCCGAGAGAUGGGACACUGGCUCAUUUGCAAACCUCAACAGGGGGAAGCUUGUAACUGAUGUGUGUACAUAAAUAGUGUUUAGAAGAGACAUUUUUGAGCAACUCUUAGCAUCAAUAACAUCAAGCUGACUUGAUGAAUCAAUUUUGUCAGAGCUCUUGAAGAUGUGAUCAGCUGUUGUAAGCUGGCUUCUUGAGAAGUAUUAUUACACAAUGCCUUGAUAUAGGUAAUCAAUACUCGCAGACUUUGAUUUAAUAAUACCCCACGUCACAUAUAUCUAAUAAGCCAUGUUACACAAACUCAUAAACCCUAAAACAAAAAUAUUUAAGAACAGUUAGGCUAUGAUUUUGAGUCUUGGCCAACCGAAUUUCUAGUUCACAUGCCAUUAGGCAGUCCUUUUAGUUGUGUAGCUCUUACAUGGAGCUUUACAAAGGCAUUUCUUUUUUAUCAUUAUUAUUGUUAUAUCUAAAAUGACAAAGUCUGUACUUUACUGUACUGUACCUUGCUCAGUGCGGAUAUUUUCACAUGAGACCAGGCUAAUACAAUAGCUUCUAUUCUGUA